This 118-nucleotide ribosomal RNA is filed under the name Lepisosteus oculatus (spotted gar). Lineage: Eukaryota; Metazoa; Chordata; Actinopteri; Semionotiformes; Lepisosteidae. The record is from RNAcentral.
AUCAGCAGCUAUAUCACCCUGCAGCUCAAAACUGGCAGCCCACUGAAGCUCAGCGGGUGUAAGCCUGGUCAGUACCGGGAUGGGAGACUUCCUGCGAAAGCUUAGGUUGCUGCUGGAA